RNAcentral lists this ribosomal RNA (253 nucleotides) under uncultured bacterium. Its description in RNAcentral is "partial 16S ribosomal RNA". It matches the Rfam family "Bacterial small subunit ribosomal RNA", at positions 524 to 776 of the family's 1533-position model. The record is from RNAcentral.
UACAGAGGUCCCGAGCGUUGUUCGGAUUCACUGGGCGUAAAGGGUGCGUAGGUGGUGAGGUAAGUCGGAUGUGAAAUCUCCGGGCUCAACCCGGAAAUGGCAUUGGAAACUACCUUGCUGGAGGGUUUGAGGGGGGAUUGGAAUACUUGGUGUAGCAGUGAAAUGCGUAGAUAUCAAGUGGAACACCAGUGGCGAAGGCGAAUCCCUGGAAAACACCUGACACUGAGGCACGAAAGCUAGGGGAGCAAACAGG